CAGCCGCCGCGGGAACACGAAGGGGGCUAGCGUUGCUCGGAAUGACUGGGCGUAAAGGGCGCGUAGGCGGUUUGUACAGUUGGGUGUGAAAUUCCUGGGCUUAACCUGGGGGCUGCACCCAAGACGUGCAGGCUUGAGUGUGGAAGAGGGUCGUGGAAUACCCAGUGUAGAGGUGAAAUUCGUAGAUAUUGGGAAGAACACCGGUGGCGAAGGCGGCGACCUGGUCCAUUACUGACGCUGAGGCGCGAAAGCGUGGGGAGCAAACAGGAUUAGAUACCCCCGUAGUCCCUGUCUCUUAUAA
Molecule: ribosomal RNA, 301 nt
Filed under: uncultured bacterium
Lineage: Bacteria
Description: partial 16S ribosomal RNA
Rfam family: Bacterial small subunit ribosomal RNA
Source: RNAcentral